Molecule: non-coding RNA, 81 nt
Filed under: marine eukaryotic metagenome
Description: Glycine riboswitch
Rfam family: Glycine riboswitch aptamer
About the family: This family represents the bacterial glycine riboswitch.
Source: RNAcentral
AAGAGACUGUGGCGCAGCAGCGGCUACAGCGCCGAAGGAGCAACCGCCUCGGAAACUCUCAGGCUAAAGGACCGCAAGGGG